RNAcentral lists this ribosomal RNA (253 nucleotides) under uncultured bacterium. RNAcentral's name for it is "partial 16S ribosomal RNA". It matches the Rfam family "Bacterial small subunit ribosomal RNA", at positions 524 to 776 of the family's 1533-position model. The record is from RNAcentral.
UACGUAGGGUGCAAGCGUUGUCCGGAAUUAUUGGGCGUAAAGCGCACGUAGGCGGCUAUUCAAGUCAGAGGUGAAAGCCCGGGGCUCAACCCCGGAACUGCCUUUGAAACUAGGUAGCUAGAAUCUUGGAGAGGUCAGUGGAAUUCCGAGUGUAGAGGUGAAAUUCGUAGAUAUUCGGAAGAACACCAGUGGCGAAGGCGACUGACUGGACAAGUAUUGACGCUGAGGUGCGAAAGCGUGGGGAGCAAACAGG